Molecule: long non-coding RNA, 2440 nt
Organism: Drosophila bipectinata
Lineage: Eukaryota; Metazoa; Arthropoda; Insecta; Diptera; Drosophilidae
Source: RefSeq, a predicted model, not a curated record
UCUUUAAAAAAAGUUGGUAUUUUUACCAAAUACGAAAUACCAUUGCCAAUUGUUCAAUUAUAUGGAAACUAUAGGAUAUAGUCGGCCGAUCCUCAAAUUUUGGUGCGUCUACCCAGCUGGGACUUGAAAACUCCAAUUUUUAACUUUAAAUAUGCGCAUACACCAAAGUUUUGGAAAAAGCUUUUCCGCAAUAAUACAUUUUGAAAUCAUUAACUCGAACAUUUCUACAGGGUGGGCCCCGUAGCUGUCACAUUUUUAACUAUUAGUUAUUUCGAGAACGUCACCACACAUAUCAGUCGCAUAUUCAUAGUUGUUCAGUAUAUCAACUCCGGUUCACGAAAUAGAACGCUUCUCGAACGAACAACGCUGGGAAAUGGUAAAAUUUUACUUCCAAAGUAUUUGGACGAAAAAUUUGAAUCAGAUUUGGGCGAAAAAUCAUCUUCUCGGACGAGGCGCAUUUCCAUUUUGGCGGCUAUGUUAAUAAGCAAAACUGCCGUAUCUGGGGAACGGAAAACCCUCAUGUGAUCGCGGAGAAACCAAUGCAUCCAGAACGAGUGACUGUUUGGUGCGGAUUAUGGUGGUAUCAUUGGGACGUUUUUCUUCAAAGACAUUGCGGGAAGAGCCGUUACGGUCAAUGGCUAGCGCUACCGAGCCAUGAUAAGCGAUUUUUUGUGGCCUAUUAUCGACCAAAUGGACGUGGAAGACAUUUGGUUUCAACAGGAUGGUGCACCGUGCCACACAAGCAAUGCCAAAAUCGAUCUUCUGCGCGAGAAGUUCGGCGAACGCAUUAUUAGCCGGCGCGCCGAAAUCGGCGAAGUUAUUGGCCAGAUAUAGCCCCACACGCUCGAGAAUGUCGUCAAAAAUUGGUCUUAUCGCAUCGGCUAAUGCCACGCUAGAAUGAUGUUGUGUUCCAUCAUUAAACCGGAAGAAUUAAGCUUUACAAUAAAAAAAUCAGAAUUGAAAAAUAUUGACGCGGGUUCAUUUUAUCGCCAAAAGGUGAUUUUUAAUUGGCCCACCCAGUACAUGACAAUGCCCCAAAACACAAUGCUAGUGUUGUUAAAUCUUUUUUAAAAAUACUCUUAACUGACCACAAUAUUAUUUUGAUUUGAAAAAAUUGAAAAAGUAUAUCAGGAGUGCCCAGUGCCAUUGCUCUCGGUGCUCCUUUGUUGUUGGAAUUGCUCUUUCAUAUGGGAAACGAAAUUUCAUAUUCGUGUGAUCCUCCCAGCAUAGCCAAAGCCCAAAUACAAAAACAAUUUUUCGUGUUUUCCCUAUUCUCCUCAAUCGUGCUAAUCCGAACGCAUUUUGUUGUUGGAUAGCCGAAAACUUAUCACUACAAGAAACUCAUUCUUGCUUUUCAUUCAGCCAAAAUGGUCGACUUGAAGCGAUGAAUUUCUGCUUUGCAGAACAUUUUUAAAGUAAAAAGUUAGGCAUUUAUUGUCAUAGUAUAAUAAUAAACUGUUGUGAAAAAUAUAUGCCCUAUUUAUAAUUGAUAUAAUAAAAUGUAUUUUUUAUUAUAAUGAUAUUUGUUUGAAACUCCUUGUGAAUUUUACUAUAAUUUUAUUUUUCAGUGCAUCGAAAUGAAAAAAAUGGUGUAAAUGGUGUAUUGGUGAUUUUUUGCACUGGUAUUGGAGUUUGCUCUGCCGUAUGCUGAGCUUGGGCACCCCUGGUCUACAUGAUUCACUGACCAACAAGAUGUACAAGAUGUAUGUACAUAUGAGUUUUUAGAAAGUAUGUUUUUCUAGCUCACUCUCAUAUGUAACUUACUUUUCAAGGAGCGUUUCCUCUCUCUAGAUAUUUUCAAAACAGGAAAUAAAGUACUUUUUUAAUAUCUAUCGUUUCCCUCACAUAUCUAAACCCUGUUAACAUAUUUGCCAGUGAUGCCCAAUUUUCCCGCUUAUACCUACAUAUCAAUGAGAGAGAGCGAGUGCCAAAUAUAUGUUGUAUUUUUAUGCAACCUAUACUAGUUCAGAUCGCUGAUGGUGAUAACUUUGAAAACUACACAUCUAUGCUUUUAUUUUUGCAAACUAUAGAUAAAAGCGUGAUAGCUUGCCAAAGUCGACUUUGUGAGUACGAUGUGAGCUGUUUCAAAAGAAGAAGUUCGACUAGCAAUUUGUUAGAGUAAGACAGAAAACAUUUUGACGGCAACUAAACGGAUACUGCGGAAAUUAAAAACGAAAUUUGUCUUAAAUAUAUGUAAAAAUGUGAAAAUGUGUAAAAUGUGUAAAAAUGUGACCCGUCUAUGUAAACAAAAAAUUUACCUAAUUAAUUUUUUCAAAAUUGUUCUAUUUUAAUUGUCUUAUUAAUUGCUUAUGAGAAAUAUUUGAAUUGUACCGCCUAAAGAUAUUAUCGCUCUGUUAAGUACUCGUUCUUGUUACUCGCUGCGUCGCAGUUUCGAAUGAAAGAAGAGAAGGAGCAGAUAUAACCUAGUAAUAAAUGAACU